RNAcentral lists this ribosomal RNA (430 nucleotides) under uncultured bacterium. RNAcentral describes it as "partial 16S ribosomal RNA". It matches the Rfam family "Bacterial small subunit ribosomal RNA", at positions 354 to 796 of the family's 1533-position model. The record is from RNAcentral.
GUGGGGAAUAUUGCACAAUGGGCGAAAGCCUGAUGCAGCAACGCCGCGUGAGGGACGACGGCCUUCGGGUUGUAAACCUCUUUUAGCAGGGAAGAAGCGAAAGUGACGGUACCUGCAGAAAAAGCACCGGCUAACUACGUGCCAGCAGCCGCGGUAAUACGUAGGGUGCAAGCGUUAUCCGGAAUUAUUGGGCGUAAAGAGCUCGUAGGCGGUCUGUCGCGUCUGCUGUGAAAACUGGAGGCUCAACCUCCAGCCUGCAGUGGGUACGGGCAGACUAGAGUGCGGUAGGGGAGAUUGGAAUUCCUGGUGUAGCGGUGGAAUGCGCAGAUAUCAGGAGGAACACCGAUGGCGAAGGCAGAUCUCUGGGCCGUAACUGACGCUGAGGAGCGAAAGCGUGGGGAGCGAACAGGAUUAGAUACCCCUGUAGUCC